UACAGAGGGUGCAAGCGUUGUCCGGAAUCACUGGGCGUAAAGGGCGCGUAGGCGGCUCAUGAAGGCUGUGGUGAAAGCCCGGGGCUCAACCCCGGGUCGGCCGUGGCAACUGUCGAGCUGGAGCACUGUAGAGGCAGGUGGAAUUCCGGGUGUAGCGGUGGAAUGCGUAGAGAUCCGGAAGAACACCGGUGGCGAAGGCGGCCUCUGGGCAGUGGCUGACGCUGAGGCGCGACAGCGUGGGGGAGCAAACAGG
Molecule: ribosomal RNA, 253 nt
Filed under: uncultured bacterium
Lineage: Bacteria
Description: partial 16S ribosomal RNA
Rfam family: Bacterial small subunit ribosomal RNA
Source: RNAcentral